UCCUUAAGCUCAACAAACUUUUCCUCAUGGGAUUCUGAAGUCUUCACAUACUUUACACUGUCUCUGAUUUUCUUAACAACAUCCCUCCCAGCCCAUAGCACAUCCUUUGCAAUGCUGCUUAGAGUACGUGCAAUGCAAUUCCCAAUCAAUAAUUGACCAUUAAGAAUAAGGGGAUUUUUUAUGCAAAGCAGAGAUCUAAGAUUUUCAAGGCCAGGUUCACCCACUGGACGAUUGUAUGUAACAGAAAAUAGCUUGCCU
RNAcentral lists this unclassified non-coding RNA (258 nucleotides) under Hevea brasiliensis (rubber tree). Lineage: Eukaryota; Viridiplantae; Streptophyta; Magnoliopsida; Malpighiales; Euphorbiaceae. The record is from RNAcentral.